CGGGGUGCAGCAGGCGCGAAAACUCUACAAUGCAGGCAACUGCGAUAGGGGGACAUCGAGUGGCAUCCACCUUGGGUGCCUGUCCCACCGUCUAAAAAACGGUGGUUAGCAAGGGCCGGGUAAGACCGGUGCCAGCCGCCGCGGUAAUACCGGCGGCUCGAGUGGUGGCCGAUAUUAUUGAGUCUAAAGGGUCCGUAGCCGGCUUCGCAAGUCCCCUGGGAAAUCCAGCGGCUUAACCGUUGGUCGUCCAUGGGAUACUACGUUGCUUGGGACUGGGAGAGGUGGGAGGUACUCGGGGGGUAGGGGUGAAAUCCUGUAAUCCUCCGGGGACCACCGGUGGCGAAGGCGUCCCACCAGAACAGGUCCGACGGUGAGGGACGAAAGCUAGGGGCACGAACCGGAUUAGAUACCCGGGUAGUCCUAGCCGUAAACGAUGCCCGCUAGGUGUCACGACAGUCGUGAAUUAUCGUGGUGCCGUAGGGAAGCCGCGAAGCGGGCCACUUGGGAAGUACGACCGCAAGGUUAAACUUAAAGGAAUUGCGGGGGAGCACAAGGGCGAUUCGCG
Molecule: ribosomal RNA, 565 nt
Filed under: uncultured archaeon
Lineage: Archaea
Description: bacterial SSU rRNA
Rfam family: Archaeal small subunit ribosomal RNA
Source: RNAcentral